Molecule: long non-coding RNA, 654 nt
Organism: Bicyclus anynana (squinting bush brown)
Lineage: Eukaryota; Metazoa; Arthropoda; Insecta; Lepidoptera; Nymphalidae
Exons: 2
Source: RefSeq, a predicted model, not a curated record
AAAAGAAUAUACACGCUCUAGAAAUAUGUUGAAGAAGAAUGCUUGCAUAUCCUGGACACAGUCUCACUCUCACUCCUCCAAGAACUGGGGAUCAAACAGCAUCUUUCUUCCAGCAUCCAAUGUCUUCUUACACACACUUUCUUUGGACGUACCAGAGAAAGAGACGAUAAGUCCAUAGAGCGACAUAAACUCAAUACCUACGAUAUUUAAUACCAUACCAUGUUUUAGAUUUCUGCGACAUCUUGCAUGUUGUUGUAUCCAAUGUGUUGGGAUCUGUGUUCCAGGGCUUAUGUGUGUGGUUUAGUUAAGUUUGCUGGUUAUUAAAGCAAAAAGGAAUCGAAUUUCAUUUUUAAAAUUAUGAUUAUGGCGAACGAACUCUUUCGUCAUCGCUCAUAGGAUAUUUGGAAUAUGCCCUAUAACUGCAGACUCCAAUAUUACAAAAAGCACCUGCAAUACAAUAGAAUAACAUAUUGGUGUGCUGAAGAAAAGAUGGCAAAGGCUUUUAGCUGAUAGGACAUUGUACUGAUGACCCUGUUAUCUGGUCAAAUCAUAAAUGUGUGUGUAUUAUCAAAAUAUUUGCAUAGAUUGUGAAAUGCUGAUGAUAUUUGAUUUGGUCUUUGAUAUUUGAAAAUAAAAGAAUACUUACUUCGCUGA